GAGCAUGGGCGGCAGGCUACACAUGCAGUCGAGCGCGAAAGCACUUCGGUGUGAGUAAAGCGGCGGACGGGUGAGUAACGCGUAGGAAUCUACCUAGUAGUGGGGGACAACUCGGGGAAACUCGAGCUAAUACCGCAUACGCCCUACGGGGGAAAGCGGGGGACCUUCGGGCCUCGUGCUAUUAGAUGAGCCUGCGUUGGAUUAGCUAGUUGGUGGGGUAAUGGCCUACCAAGGCGACGAUCCAUAGCUGGUCUGAGAGGAUGAUCAGCCACACCGGGACUGAGACACGGCCCGGACUCCUACGGGAGGCAGCAGUGGGGAAUAUUGCGCAAUGGGCGAAAGCCUGACGCAGCCAUGCCGCGUGUGUGAAGAAGGCCUUCGGGUUGUAAAGCACUUUCAAUUGGGAGGAAAGGCUCACGACUAAUACUCGUGAGCUGUGACGUUACCUUUAGAAGAAGCACCGGCUAACUCCGUGCCAGCAGCCGCGGUAAUACGGAGGGUGCGAGCGUUAAUCGGAAUUACUGGGCGUAAAGCGCGCGUAGGUGGUCUGUUAAGUCGGAUGUGAAAGCCCCGGGCUCAACCUGGGAACUGCAUCCGAUACUGGCAGACUAGAGUGCGGGAGAGGGAGGUAGAAUUCCACGUGUAGCGGUGAAAUGCGUAGAUAUGUGGAGGAAUACCAGUGGCGAAGGCGGCCUCCUGGCUCGACACUGACACUGAGGUGCGAAAGCGUGGGUAGCAAACAGGAUUAGAUACCCUGGUAGUCCACGCCGUAAACGAUGUCUACUAGCUGUAGGGGUACUUGAGACCUUUGUAGCGCAGCUAACGCACUAAGUAGACCGCCUGGGGAGUACGGCCGCAAGGUUAAAACUCAAAUGAAUUGACGGGGGCCCGCACAAGCAGUGGAGCAUGUGGUUUAAUUCGAUGCAACGCGAAGAACCUUACCAGGCCUUGACAUCCUCGGAACUUUCUAGGGAUAGAUUGGUGCCUUCGGGAACGCAGUGACAGGUGGUUGCAUGCUGUCGUCAGCUCGUGUCGUGAGAUGUGGGUUAAGUCCGCACGAGCGCAACCACGUCUUUAGUGCAGCAUUAGUGGGCACCUCUAGAGAGACCGCUGUGAUAACUGGAGAGGUGGUGGAUGACGUCAAGUCAU
This 1149-nucleotide ribosomal RNA is filed under the name uncultured bacterium. Its description in RNAcentral is "bacterial SSU rRNA". It matches the Rfam family "Bacterial small subunit ribosomal RNA", at positions 31 to 1193 of the family's 1533-position model. The record is from RNAcentral.